This 87-nucleotide transfer RNA is filed under the name bacterium BMS3Abin05. Its description in RNAcentral is "tRNA-Ser". It matches the Rfam family "tRNA". Rfam says of the family: Transfer RNA (tRNA) molecules are approximately 80 nucleotides in length. RNAcentral also lists the same sequence under 1 other name. The record is from RNAcentral.
GGAGAGGUGUCCGAGCGGCUGAAGGAGCACGCCUGGAGAGCGUGUGUAUCCUCUGGGUACCGUGGGUUCAAAUCCCACCCUCUCCGC